RNAcentral lists this ribosomal RNA (843 nucleotides) under Loimosina wilsoni. RNAcentral's name for it is "SSU rRNA". Lineage: Eukaryota; Metazoa; Platyhelminthes; Monogenea; Monocotylidea; Loimoidae. The record is from RNAcentral.
UAAAUCAGCUAUGGUUCCUUGGUUCAGAUACCGUCCUAGUUCUGACCAUAAACGAUGCCGACUGAKGAUCCRAGGAGUCUUMAMUAUGNGAACCCUMRGKCAGUCACCGGGAAACCUGWAAGUCUAUGGGUUCCGGGGAAAGUAUGGUUGCAAAGCUGAAACUUAAAGAAAUUGACGGAAGGGCACCACCAGGAGUGAAGCUUGCGGCUUAAUUUGACUCAACACGGGUAAACUCACCCGGCCCGGACACUGUGAGGAUUGACAGAUUUAUGGCUCUUUCAUGAUUCGGUGGUUAGUGGUGCAUGGCCGUUCUUAGUUCGUGGUAUAAGUUGUCUGGUUAAUUCCGAUAACGAACGAGACUUCAUUCUGCUAAAUAGUACACGCGUAAAUUUGUGUAGUCACUGCUCGUCUGUGCCCUGUGUACGGAUGAGUGGGUGCUGCAUAAGCGUGUGAGACUUCUUAGAGGAACCGGUGUUCAUGUAAACCACACGAAAGGAAGCAAUAACAGGUCUGUGAUGCCCUUAGAUGUCCGGGGCCGCACGCGUGCUACAAUGACGGUGUUAGAGAGUUUGAUUUUCUCAUUCGAAAGGAUGGGGUAAACUUUUCAAUCACUGUCAUGACUGGGAUCGGGGUUUGUAACUAUCCCCCGUGAACGAGGAAUUCCUCGUAAGUACAAGUCACAAGCUUGUGCUGAUUACGUCCCUGCCCUUUGUACACACCGCCCGUCGCUACUACCGAAUUGAAUGKUUUAACAAGGUCAUUGGAUUGACACUCAUGCAGUGCCAAACUGCCGAGUGUUGAAAAGACGACCAAACUUGAUCAUUUUAAAGGAAAUAAAAAGUC